RNAcentral lists this long non-coding RNA (261 nucleotides) under Zonotrichia albicollis (white-throated sparrow). RNAcentral describes it as "lncRNA (ENSZALG00000017671.1)". The record is from RNAcentral. Lineage: Eukaryota; Metazoa; Chordata; Aves; Passeriformes; Passerellidae.
GCUUGAGCAGAGGGAAAUAUGCAACCUUGUGACCCUGACUCAGAAUAGCCAAACUCCAUCUGCUCUGAAACUUUAAAUGGAUUUUAUCCAGGGAAAGCUCAGAAACUGCAAGUACAGAAUUUCACAAAACCAGAGAAGAAUGAACAGGAACACUUCCAAGUAGGAGGUAAUUGAUGAGCCAUCACAUCAGUGAGGAGGUACUUCCAUGCUGCAUUUCUUGGCUGCUGCAAGAAGCCCAGCUUCUUCUGUUUAGUGCCUAAG